ACCCGAUCUCGUCUGAUCUCGGAAGUCAAGCAAUCUCGGGCUUGGUUAGUACUUGGAUGGGUGACCGCUUGGGAAUACCAAGUGUGAUAAGCA
Molecule: non-coding RNA, 93 nt
Organism: Ciona savignyi (Pacific transparent sea squirt)
Lineage: Eukaryota; Metazoa; Chordata; Ascidiacea; Phlebobranchia; Cionidae
Source: Rfam